This is a long non-coding RNA of Pan troglodytes (chimpanzee), 503 nucleotides long. RefSeq lists it as uncharacterized. The transcript has 3 exons. Lineage: Eukaryota; Metazoa; Chordata; Mammalia; Primates; Hominidae. The record is from RefSeq and is a predicted model, not a curated record.
AUCAGAUCCCACAAGUUUAAGGGCUCAGCUCCACAAGACUACCCCCUUCACAUGCCAGCAGCAAAUAUGGGGCCCAAGUUACCCACAUUUCUGCCCAGCUGACUACAACUUCUGGUUUCCAUGACCCCCUCUCAGGUUUGAUAGUUUGCUAGAACAACUCACAAAGUGAAGGAAAAUGGUGUACUUACUAUUACUGGCUUAUUAUAAAAGCUACAACUCAGAAACAGCCAAAAGGAGGAGAUGCACAGAGCAAGGUGACCAGUCCGCAUCCUGAUACUGUCUCGGAGUCCCCCAGCCAAGAAUCAUCUCAUCAGCAUAAACUCAGGCAAUGCUGAAAGGCAUUCAGAAUGGUACUGGCCAUGUAACAUCCUCAGGAAAAUGGAGAAAGGAGUUUUUGGAGACUGCUAUGUAAGCCAGAAUACUAGUCACACAGUGCAGGUGGGAGCGGCGGGGAAGUAACCUCCUUUUUUUUUAGACUAAUACAUUUAUGGUAUACAUCUGAA